RNAcentral lists this ribosomal RNA (402 nucleotides) under uncultured bacterium. RNAcentral's name for it is "bacterial SSU rRNA". It matches the Rfam family "Bacterial small subunit ribosomal RNA", at positions 107 to 507 of the family's 1533-position model. The record is from RNAcentral.
UGAGUAACGCGUAUCCAACCUGCCCACCACUUGGGGAUAACCUUGCGAAAGUAAGACUAAUACCCAAUGAUAUCUCUAGAAGACAUCUGAAAGGGAUUAAAGAUUUAUCGGUGAUGGAUGGGGAUGCGUCUGAUUAGCUUGUUGGCGGGGUAACGGCCCACCAAGGCAACGAUCAGUAGGGGUUCUGAGAGGAAGGUCCCCCACAUUGGAACUGAGACACGGUCCAAACUCCUACGGGAGGCAGCAGUGAGGAAUAUUGGUCAAUGGGCGAGAGCCUGAACCAGCCAAGUAGCGUGCAGGACGACGGCCCUAUGGGUUGUAAACUGCUUUUAUAAGGGAAUAAAGUGAGUCUCGUGAGACUUUUUGCAUGUACCUUAUGAAUAAGGACCGGCUAAUUCCGUG